Molecule: small nuclear RNA, 132 nt
Filed under: Prolemur simus (greater bamboo lemur)
Lineage: Eukaryota; Metazoa; Chordata; Mammalia; Primates; Lemuridae
Description: U1 spliceosomal RNA (ENSPSMG00000020768.1)
Rfam family: U1 spliceosomal RNA
About the family: U1 is a small nuclear RNA (snRNA) component of the spliceosome (involved in pre-mRNA splicing). Its 5' end forms complementary base pairs with the 5' splice junction, thus defining the 5' donor site of an intron. There are significant differences in sequence and secondary structure between metazoan and yeast U1 snRNAs, the latter being much longer (568 nucleotides as compared to 164 nucleotides in human).
Source: RNAcentral
AUACUUACCUGUCAGGCGUGAUACCAUGAUCAGGUCGCACUCCGGAUGUCCUGACCCCUGUGAUUUCCCCAAAUGUGGGGAACCCGGUACAUAAUUUGUGGUGGUGGGGGACUGUGUUUGUGCUCUCCCCUG